CCCUGAACUUCCACCAAGCACUUCGUCGCGGUGCCGACGGAGUUCAAGCUCGGGAACAACACCGGCUGCUCCUGGAAGGUGAUGGUCAAGCUGAUGAACGGCAGGGUGACCCUUGAUCAGGGUUGGGCCACCUACGUAGCCGUUCAUCAGAUCAAGAUCGGCUACAUGGUGACGUUUAAGCUCCUCACUCCUGACACCCUCAAGGUCAUUAUCUUCGACGACGAUGGCAUUGAGGUCGUCAACAAGUGCGGGAAGCACGACGAAGCCUUCGCCGCCAAGGAGUAG
Molecule: ribosomal RNA, 285 nt
Filed under: Triticum aestivum (bread wheat)
Lineage: Eukaryota; Viridiplantae; Streptophyta; Magnoliopsida; Poales; Poaceae
Description: partial small subunit ribosomal RNA
Source: RNAcentral